RNAcentral lists this microRNA (22 nucleotides) under Brugia malayi. Its description in RNAcentral is "bma-miR-750". Its record names the gene bma-miR-750. Lineage: Eukaryota; Metazoa; Nematoda; Chromadorea; Rhabditida; Onchocercidae. RNAcentral also lists the same sequence under 1 other name. The record is from miRBase by way of RNAcentral.
CCAGAUCUGUCCUUCGGCUAAC